UUCUCUCUCUUAUCUUCUUCCAAAACUUGGAUCUGGUUUUCCUCCUCUGAGCUCUCUUUUUCCUUCUGUUCUUCUCCACUGCAGAAGUUUGCUUCUCUUAUCUUCUCUCCAUUCUCGUCUAUCUCGUAUGUAACAAUCACUAUUCUUAAGUUUACACUCAUCUAUUAAUGGUUUUUUCUUCUUCUUUUGCUUUGCAGGAUCUAAAGGAGUCAAUCGAAGGAUCUAAAGGAGUAAACUUGAAGGAUCUAAAGGAAUAAACUUUCAGGUACUUAUUGUUGCUUGAAUGAAUUUUUACCGUUGCAGAACUUCAAGCAGCAAUGCAACGGUAGCUGUUUUGGAGGCUCUUGUUGCUCAUCAUGAACUGGGAACUCCCAACACGGUUACCCCAUCGUCUGUCGCAGAGAUCAGGAACAGUCGAUGAAUGGAAGAUCUUAGUGCAACUUAAGCCUGGACUUGAGAAAGAGCGUGAUCCCAUGGUUGGAAUUAUGGACUUGAUGAAGGUCUCUGUCUCCCCCUCUCCCUCUCAUACCAUGAUGGUGAUGGAGACCGUGACUCUAUGAAAAGAAUGCAAGUGUAGGGAUUAGAAGUGUCUCCUUUCAAUGCUUUUAAUUCUUAAUUUUCUUUUUGUACCAGUUUAGCACUUUCGAUUGGGAAGCAUAUUUUCUCCUUUCAAUGCAAGUGUAGGGAUUAGAAGUGUCUCCUUUCAAUGCUUUUAAUUCUUAAUUUUCUUUUUGUACCAGUUUAGCACUUUCGAUUGGGAAGCAUAUUUUCUUUUAAAUCUUAGUCCUUGCUUUAAAUUUUUUUCUGUCCAACCAUGUACUAGAAAUACCAAUUUGGAGUAUUGGUAUCUGUUUAACUAAUUCAGGAAUUUUGGACGCAGUGAUUUGUGGCCUGGCCAACUUCUAUAGUGUAAGUACUGGGUAGCACCAUUGAUUUAAGGAGCCUAAUUGAUGAACGAACGAAAAAAAUGUCCAGAUAUAAUUUAUGAUUUGCUGUGGGAUUGCAAUUGUUCACCGGAGAACAGGAGCUCGGAAAGGUACGGAAAAUUGCUGAUGGUGGUGACGGUUUGGCUGUGCUUACAGAACAGGGUUUGAUGCUUUAGCAGUUGCAGUUGCAAGAUAUUAUUGAGAUUAAGGUGCAUCUGGAGUGCGAAAACAAAGAUACAUAGAGGUUAGUUGGUGGUAUUUUGAUGCAUAGGUACAUAUACUAUGUUGCUUUCGAAGGCAGACUUUCUUCAAAAGUAUUUUAUACCAUCAGGUGUGUUCUUAUCAUGUCCCAAACUUUUCACAGGCACUUUAGAUGUUGAUAAUCUUAGUUACCAGAUUUUUGAACUCUCUGGGUGUUGUUCCGCUGCCCGGAUUUAUGUUUUUUACACAAUUAAACAUCUUACUGUCGGAUAUGUAAGUUUCUAUGGUGCAUCAAUGUAAAACUUUGUUAUGAAUGGUAUAAGUUUGUGUGAA
Molecule: long non-coding RNA, 1460 nt
Organism: Papaver somniferum (opium poppy)
Lineage: Eukaryota; Viridiplantae; Streptophyta; Magnoliopsida; Ranunculales; Papaveraceae
Exons: 6
Source: RefSeq, a predicted model, not a curated record